RNAcentral lists this ribosomal RNA (492 nucleotides) under uncultured bacterium. RNAcentral describes it as "partial 16S ribosomal RNA". It matches the Rfam family "Bacterial small subunit ribosomal RNA", at positions 29 to 507 of the family's 1533-position model. The record is from RNAcentral.
AGUGAACGCUGGCGGUAGGCCUAACACAUGCAAGUCGAACGGCAGCACAGUAAGCGCUCGCUCUUACGGGUGGCGAGUGGCGGACGGGUGAGGAAUACAUCGGCAUCUACUUUUUCGUGGGUGAUAACGUAGGGAAACUUACGCUACUACCGCAUAUGUCCUACGGGUGAAAGCAGUGGAUCUUCGGACCUUGCGCGAUUGAAUGAGCCGGUGUCGGAUUAGCUAGUUGGCGGGGUAAAGGCCCACCAAGGCGACGAUCCGUAGCUGGUCUGAGAGGAUGAUCAGCCACACUGGAACUGAGACACGGUCCAGACUCCUACGGGAGGCAGCAGUGGGGAAUAUUGCACAAUGGGCGAAAGCCUGAUCCAGCCAUACCGCGUGGGUGAAGAAGGCCUUCGGGUUGUAAAGCCCUGUUGUUGGGAAAGAAAAGCAGCAGGUUAAUACCCCGCUGUUCUGACGGUACCCAAAGAAUAAGCACCGGCUAACUUCGUG